CCUACGAGAGGCAGCAGUAGGGAAUAUUGCACAAUGGGGGAAACCCUGAUGCAGCGACGCCGCGUGGAGGAAGAAGUAUUUCGGUACGUAAAGCUCUAUCAGUAGGGAAGAAAAUGACGGUAACUGACUAAGAAGCCCCGGCUAACUACGUGCCAGCAGCCGCGGUAAUACGUAGGGGGCAAGCGUUAUCCGGAUUUACUGGGGGUAAAGUGAGCGUAGACGGGAGAGCAAGUCUGGAGUGAAAUCCGAUGGCUUAACCAUGGAACUGCAGUGGAAACUGUUCAGCGAGAGGACAGGAGAGGUAAGCGGAAUUCCUAGUGUAGCGGUGAAAUGCGUAGAUAUUAGGAGGAACACCAGUUGCGAAGGCGGCUUACUAGACUGUAACUGACGUUGAGGCUCGAAAGCGUGGGGAGCAAACAGGAUUAGAUACCCGAGUAGUC
This 440-nucleotide ribosomal RNA is filed under the name uncultured bacterium. RNAcentral's name for it is "partial 16S ribosomal RNA". It matches the Rfam family "Bacterial small subunit ribosomal RNA", at positions 338 to 795 of the family's 1533-position model. The record is from RNAcentral.